Homo sapiens (human) is the source of this 504-nucleotide long non-coding RNA. Ensembl annotates it as ZNF84 divergent transcript. Its record names the gene ZNF84-DT. Lineage: Eukaryota; Metazoa; Chordata; Mammalia; Primates; Hominidae. The record is from Ensembl.
GAGCUCAGGCAAUCCGCCCGCCUUGGCCUCCCAAAGUGCUAGGAUUACAGGCGUGAGCCACCGCGCCCGGCCCACCAAUACUCAAUUGGUUUGACUUCAGUUGAGGAAACCAGAAAAAAUUUAAAUAUAUUUAUGGAAAGAAGCUAUUGGGAGAGUGGCUGAGUACUGAGUCUAUCACUACUUGGAUGAUACAGCUUCUGUCUUCAAGAUAAGCAGAAUUGUUCAGAAUCCACUGGAAUCCAAAUUCAACUUGGGCCUCAAUUUCUGCAGAUGGACACCUCUGGACUCCAAAAAAUCCAAGGACAUAAAAAACUUAAGCAGCCUUUAUUACAUUUAGUUCAACAAGUUUAAAGUAGUCUAAAACCAGCCUCUGCCUGAUCAAACUAGAAGGCCAGAAACAGAGGGCAGCUGAAGGAAACAGCUCACUCAAGAUGCCAACCAGGCCUCUGUUCAUGCCAUCAUGGAUAAGAUCUAUUUUUGAGGGUCUAAUUAAGUUAAGAACUA